UACGUAGGGUGCAGGCGUUAAUCGGAAUUACUGGGCGUAAAGCGUGCGCAGGCGGCUUCCUAAGUCAGAUGUGAAAUCCCCGGGCUUAACCUGGGAACUGCGUUUGAAACUGGGGGGCUAGAGUGCGGCAGAGGGGGGUGGAAUUCCACGUGUAGCAGUGAAAUGCGUAGAUAUGUGGAGGAACACCGAUGGCGAAGGCAGCCCCCUGGGCCUGCACUGACGCUCAUGCACGAAAGCGUGGGGAGCGAACAGG
This 253-nucleotide ribosomal RNA is filed under the name uncultured bacterium. Its description in RNAcentral is "partial 16S ribosomal RNA". It matches the Rfam family "Bacterial small subunit ribosomal RNA", at positions 524 to 776 of the family's 1533-position model. The record is from RNAcentral.